CAUCGAGUCUUUGAACRCAAGUUGCGCCCGAAGCCACUAGGUUGAGGGCACGUCUGCCUGGGCGUCACACAAUGUGUCGCCCCCUUGCAACUCGCCUUGCACAGGAUGAGUGUUGCUAAUGGGGGCGGAGAAUGGCUUCCCGUGCAUAGGUGCGGCCGGCCUAAAUUGUAGUCCCUCAUCUCGCAGGUUCACAACAAGUGGUGGUUGAAAAGCUUAAACAAGUUGUGCACACCAUGCGAUGGAGGUGAUGUUUUGGACCCUAAGGCAAUCCCUCUAUUGUGAGGAGCGUUUGUCACGACUGCGACCCCAGGUCAGGCGGGGCUACCCGCUGAGUUUAAGCAUAUCAAUAAGCGGAGGAAAAGAAACUAACAAGGAUUCCCUUAGUAACGGCGAGCGAACUGGGAAGAGCCCAAGCUUAGAAUCGGGCGGGCUUCGUCGCUCGAAUUGUA
Molecule: ribosomal RNA, 449 nt
Filed under: Decalepis hamiltonii
Lineage: Eukaryota; Viridiplantae; Streptophyta; Magnoliopsida; Gentianales; Apocynaceae
Description: eukaryotic LSU rRNA
Source: RNAcentral